RNAcentral lists this ribosomal RNA (252 nucleotides) under uncultured bacterium. RNAcentral describes it as "partial 16S ribosomal RNA". It matches the Rfam family "Bacterial small subunit ribosomal RNA", at positions 524 to 776 of the family's 1533-position model. The record is from RNAcentral.
UACGUAGGGGGCGAGCGUUAUCCGGAUUUAUUGGGCGUAUAGCGUGCGUAGGCGGCUUGUUAAGUCCAGAAUUAAAGCCCGAGGCUUAACCUCGGUUCGUUCUGGAUACUGGCAGGCUAGAGUAUGGUAGAGGCAAAUGGAAUUCCUAGUGUAGCGGUGAAAUGCGUAGAUAUUAGGAGGAACACCAGUGGCGAAGGCGGUUUGCUGGGCCAUCACUGACGCUGAGGUACGAAAGCGUGGGGAGCAAAUAGG